UCGAACGGAGCUGAGAGGAGCUUGCUUUUCUUAGCUUAGUGGCGAACGGGUGAGUAACGCGUGAGUAACCUGCCCUGGAGUGGGGGACAACAGUUGGAAACGACUACUAAUACCGCAUAAGCCCACGGAUCCGCAUGGAUCUGCGGGAAAAGGAUUUAUUCGCUUCAGGAUGGACUCGCGUCCAAUUAGCUAGUUGGUGAGGUAACGGCCCACCAAGGCGACGAUUGGUAGCCGGACUGAGAGGUUGAACGGCCACAUUGGGACUGAGACACGGCCCAGACUCCUACGGGAGGCAGCAGUGGGGGAUAUUGCACAAUGGGGGAAACCCUGAUGCAGCGACGCCGCGUGGAGGAAGAAGGUUUUCGGAUUGUAAACUCCUGUCGUUAGGGACGAUAAUGACGGUACCUAACAAGAAAGCACCGGCUAACUACGUGCCAGCAGCCGCGGUAAAACGUAGGGUGCAAGCGUUGUCCGGAAUUACUGGGUGUAAAGGGAGCGCAGGCGGACCGGCAAGUUGGAAGUGAAAACUAUGGGCUCAACCCAUAAAUUGCUUUCAAAACUGCUGGCCUUGAGUAGUGCAGAGGUAGGUGGAAUUCCCGGUGUAGCGGUGGAAUGCGUAGAUAUCGGGAGGAACACCAGUGGCGAAGGCGACCUACUGGGCACCAACUGACGCUGAGGCUCGAAAGCAUGGGUAGCAAACAGGAUUAGAUACCCUGGUAGUCCAUGCCGUAAACGAUGAUUACUAGGUGUUGGAGGAUUGACCCCUUCAGUGCCGCAGUUAACACAAUAAGUAAUCCACCUGGGGAGUACGACCGCAAGGUUGAAACUCAAAGGAA
RNAcentral lists this ribosomal RNA (836 nucleotides) under uncultured bacterium. Its description in RNAcentral is "bacterial SSU rRNA". It matches the Rfam family "Bacterial small subunit ribosomal RNA", at positions 62 to 909 of the family's 1533-position model. The record is from RNAcentral.